This 67-nucleotide transfer RNA is filed under the name Stenamma expolitum. RNAcentral describes it as "tRNA-Leu". The record is from RNAcentral. Lineage: Eukaryota; Metazoa; Arthropoda; Insecta; Hymenoptera; Formicidae.
UUUAAUAUGGCAGACUAGUGCUAUAGACUUAAAUUCUAUAUAUAAAAAUUCUUUUUUUUUAUUAAAA